GCUGGGUGUGGUGGUGCACCCCUGUAAUUUUGGCUGCUCAGGAGGCUGAGGCAGGAGGAUCAUGAGUUCAAAGUCAGCCUCAGCAAUACUGAGGCGCUAAGCAACUCAGUGAGAUCCUGUCUCUA
Molecule: small RNA, 125 nt
Filed under: Marmota monax (woodchuck)
Lineage: Eukaryota; Metazoa; Chordata; Mammalia; Rodentia; Sciuridae
Source: RNAcentral